UGAGAUUUCGGGUACUAGUACAAAAAAGAUGGGAAAGCUUCUUUCUAAAUACUUACUGUCUGAAUUGGGCGAAUAUGCAUGUGCAAAAUUAAUUUCACAAGGAAAACCUGCUGAAUAAUCUGGAAGUCUGCUUCAACUGAACUGUCACGUUGAAGUCCGUUUGCUCAGCCCUGGGAGAGAAAGACCUUUGCCCACUGAAGAAAGGGAAGAUGUACGAGCCACUGUGAAAGCCAGAUGGUGUGGAGUUCUUUUUAAGAGGCUGGGAAUAUCACCAUCUUCUGAAGGAGGAAAUGUUUUUGGACAAUUUUCCUCUUCUGCUUUCAAGAGUCAAGGAAGAUAUAUAACCUUAGAUCCAGGACCUUUUGAGGAAUGGACAAAAUAUGACAGAGACAAGAUACUAAGCCAGAGAGAAGUUAAAGAACCUGUUCGUGUCCAUAGUAUUCCAAGUUCACACGGUUCUGAGAGAAAAAGGAUCUCUGCUUAAAUGGGACUGCUUUGUUGAGUCUUGCUUUCAAGCAAAGUGCAGCUUACCUGGUGAAAGGACAAGAGCCUCCGCGAUUUGUCAGCUCAGCAGCGUCAUCCAGGACCCAGAUCUGCCCAUCUUUCUGCUCUCCUGUCCUCGGCACACGGCUAGGCACAUUCCUGCCACCUCACCACUGGACGUUGUCCACUCUGGUUUCAAGCAUCACAGGUGUUCAUGGUGACGUUCCCCAAAGACAAAGAGCACAUAUGGCUCCGUGACGUUUCUGGGUUAGGAGAGAAAAAAACACUUCCAGGAAGGCGCCCCUGCAGGUGUCGGUGUUAUGUCUCGUUGGCUGCGGUUGUGUCUCAGGUCCAGCCCAGAAUGACUCAAUGUCAAGGGGGUAAAAUUAUUAUGAUUGGCUUACAGUCAUUCGCGUUUACCUCCCGGGGCUGAGCACUUCCCCAGAGUGCAUGAAAAUGGGAGCAACUGAACUAAAGCAGGCAAGGAAAGUGGGGGAGGCCCCCAGCAUCCCUCCCACGCUUGUCCUGGGCAAAGCUUAGGUGUGGAGUCACCUCCUCCCCAGCACCCCCUGACUUCCUCCUCUCCUGGCACCAGGAAUCAUCUGUACUUAUUUUGUUAAUUUGAUUAUUGCUUUUUUUUUUUUUUUAAACUUCCUGAAACUCUGUAAGAGUAGGGACUCUUGUAUCCUUGGUACUAAGCACAAUGGAGAUGAGUAGUAAGUAUUUUUACUAAUAAUACAAAAAAGGAAUUAUAUAAUUCACAGUGUCAUCAAACAUUAAUCUCUCUAUUGGGAAGAAAUGAAACCUUCCCUAAAAAGAGCUUAUUUUUUUUUCCAGCUUAUAAAAGAAACAUGAUGUAAUAAUACCCCAAUGAGGGUACAUUGUUCCCAAAGUCUUGAAUCACUGGAUAUGGCUGAUCUGAAAUUCACUGAACAACUGUGCCUGAGUCAGGCUCCUGGCAGGAGGCAAAGAGCUGGGCACGCUCUGAGUGAAUUGAAGGGGUUUGGAUGGAGAGCCCCGGUGUAGGGAGAAGCAAAAAGCAAGGGAUGGGAACGGUGAGUCACAACUGAAAUCUGUUCACCGUGCCAAGGCCCAAGGGCCAUGAAGAAGCAGCUGGUCUGGGUCUGCAUUAGCGCUCUAGCAGUGACAAGAGGACUCCUUGAUGGGGGCGAACUCUGGGCAGAGAGCCACAGCCAAAGGACGAUGGCCUGGCAGGAGGGAGCCAGGAGAAUGUCCCAGCCUCCCUCUCUUCUUCCCUUCAAAUGAUCGGAACCAGGCUGGAAGCCAGAGGGGAAGGUCUAUUCCAUACACACACACACACACACACACACACACACACACACCCAUACCAUAUAUGCGGUGUAUGUGAUACGUGUGUGUAUGUGUGUAUACAUACACACACCAGAUUUGUGGUGCAUAUACAUACAUAUACACGGAGGACCAUAUAUGGUAAGUAUAUAUACGACAGAGUACCAUCUAUACAUAGUGUAUAUAUACACACACUAGAUACAGUAUCCCAUAUAUAUAGUAUAGUGUAUAUAUAGUUCCUUGGGUUUCCUUUGGUUUCUACAUAGAAAGAUACAUAUAUUUGUAAAUUUGAAUAUAUAUCUGGAAAGAGUUCCCAGCUCAGUUUUCCUAUUUUUCCACUCAAAAUUCAUUAUUGUCCUUUGUUUGUUGUGCCUCCCUUAAUUAAAAAACAAAAAAACAAAACCCUCACACUUACAUCUCCAGUGAGAGGGAAACACAAAAUCCCCAUCAACUACUGUAUUAUUUCAAGGGAAAUUAAUGUAGUCAUACUCUAACCUGGAAGCUGAAUUGUGAAAUUGAAUCCCUACCGGUAUUCAUUACAUAAGGUAGCAAGAGACUGUGGGAGAAAGAAAUUAUUCAUUGACACAAAACACAGCGGCUCUGGACCCUGCUUCUGUCAUGCUAAUUACACGAAUAAGCAUAGUUUCCUUCUUUCCCUAACAAUUUCCCGUUCUUCUUGUGUACUGACAGCACCUACAGCUUAAUUCAUAUGAAAUUUAAGUCUUAAGUGGUCUUUGCUUUGUUGCUUGGCUGCGGGUUUCCAUUGAGGUCUGAGGACCAAGAUGCCACAGUCAUGUCCUGUCCCUUCCAGGGCAAACUUAGCGGCGGCUGAGCACGUCCCAUCUCUUAGACCCUGUUACUAAGCCACUGGCCUUGUUCACUCACAAUUUCCCUUGAGAAUUUCUCCUGUUAACCUCAUUGGAUAUAGAUGCCCAUUGAUUAAAGAACUAAUCAGUCAUGCAGACUGUUAAUACCAUUCCAGGUGUUCAAGUCAAUUUAUGGAACCCCAAAUCCCAAAAGAGUGCGUGCAUUUAAGUAAAUUUAGUCAAGAUUUCAUCUGAUACUCUUCAUCCUUAGCUUCCGAUGGUGACAGAGGGAGGUGGAGAUUCUGAGUUCUCAGCUCGAAGUAUGCUUCCCCUAAUGCCGUUAUCCCGAGUGUCAGAAUCCCAUCUCUUCCCUGCCUCAGCACUGGAGACCCACAGGUGCCAUAUGGAACUCCGUAGGGGAGACAGGGUUGACCAUUACUUUGAGUGAAGUCAGGGCUUCACAUCCAUCUCUCCGCUCGCAUCCAUCCCCUAGGCAGCCAGGAAUAGUUCGUCCUCCCGACAGUCUUGGUUAACGUUAUUGCUGCUUUGGUAACCUCACCCAGAUCUCUCCCCACGCCUGACCUGCCUCCCACAGCACCCCCAGCUGGAGCCAGGAGAGCGUCAGGGAGGCCACAGCACACCCCAGACUUGCAAGGCUCCUCUUCCCCUUCCAGGAGCAGAUGUCUGUGUUGAUGCCAUGCAGGAGCCAUCCUAUCCUGUUAUCCUGUUUUGAAGAGGCUGGUAACUGCUGAAAGCUGUUAGCUCAGUCGGGCUUGAAGGACGGUGGAGAGGAGGCUGUUCGCUGUAGCAGAGGGAGAACACCCGCACGAUGGGAGCGUUUGAUGCAGGGCUUUAGUUUUGGACUCGAGACUGUGGUAACUGAAGAUUUCUGCUUCUGGCCAUGAUGGAUUAGUGUGCAGCUGACUAAACCCAAAGCCAAGAACACAAGAGAAGAAUCCUCUGGACUCCCUGAGAAAGAGCCUGAGCUGACCGUCUGGGGUAUAAGAGGCUGUGGGGAAGAGAAGGGAAGCCAGAUAGCCCCCCAGAAGGAGAGAGAACCCGCUGACCCGCAGCCACCCUCAACAGAAGAGAGAGCCCAGUGGCCUGUAGAUUAGAUCCCUUCAGAGACUGGCCUUUCUUCUGGUGCUCUGUUUCAGCUAGAAGAUGGCUAACUGCCGGGGGAAGAUGCAGAGUGAGACUGGCACUCAGUGAUCCGAAGGCUCUGCUCACCCUUGUCCAUCCGUUUUCUCCAGAGUACCUUCGUGCUUGGUAGAAAAGGCAGACCUGAUUAGUAUAAGUCACAAGUAACACAACAAAAUCAUCAUUUCCAGACUUCGUCGAGCCCCAGCUAAUAGCAGGUGUCCUGGAGAAAUGAGCGCUCCUUGACUACUGAGAACAGAGCUGCUCGUGGGAGCUGUUUGAAAUGUCCCUCUCGGAAAUGAUUCUGGCUAGAUAUUCAAGAGGAGACAGAAGAAUCCUAGCUCCAUGAAUAUAUUAAUUUCUAAAGUCAUAAAUGUGCAUUUUUUUGUUUUACAUCGCAGUCUCUGGCAUAAAAAUUAAAUCCAAACCUUAAAAAGUAGGAUAAAAAUCCUAAAAAUAAAGGGAAAUAAAAGUAGCGAAAUGCUACAAGAAUAGAAUUUAAGACAUGUUUUCUUUAGUGUCAAGGGAGGUUCGUGAUGCGUUGACCUCAAAAGCUCAUCUGCUAACUACAUCAUGGCAAGGACAUCACUUAAGUGGCUGGUCUUCCGUUCUCCCCCUGAUGAAAUGAGAGUAGGACUGACUUCCUGGUUUCCAGGCAAUGUGUGGAGGACUCUGGAGAGCAGGAAAACACUGAGACAAGGAAUACACUUUGUUUUCCACUCUAUGUAUCACUAGCAGCUCGGGUUAACUCUUUGACAGCUGAAAAAUAGAAAACCAAGCAAAAUUAUUAGAUCUCCUCUUUCUGCCCAGUAUAAGCCAGCUGCAAGCAGGAUAUUCGCUUUCCCGCCAUUUUCCUAUCAACCGUCACACUGAACUUCGGUUUUUGAGUCAAAGAAUGUUGAUAAAGGGAAAAGAAAACAAGUUACAUAAAAUCGUUUGGAGUCUUGGGUUCGUGUAUGUACAAGUUCACCAGAUGAACCUACUCAAAGGCUGUCUUUGAAAUCUCGGAAUAAAAAGUGUUAUCUUGUGCCAUUAAAAUCUGAAUUUAGAGAGCGCAAAUCAGAGAACACUCAAAUGAUAGACAGUCUUGGGAAGUCUAGGACAGUAAAGGAUACUGGUCAUCUGCACCUGGUCUCUUAACCAUCCUCUGUGGCUUUCCCAAGCCCGCGAGUGAGGCUCUCACACCUGUGAUUCCUGUGACAGAACCAGAAGGGUCCAAGAAGAUUUGAUAGAAAGCACGCCUGCGCACAUGUGCAGGGGGGAGGGGCAGAGCGAGAGAAUCUUCAGCCUCCCCGCUGAGCCCAGAGCCCCACACAGCUGGACCCCACGACCCUUGAGAUCAGGAGGUUGAAGUCAACAUGACGGACAGUUAAAGGAGGAAGAAGAAUGUAAAAUGGCAUCAUCAUGAACAAGAUGGAACCCGCAGACCAGAGCCGGCACCUAGGAGGAUGGGCAGGAACCUGUAUGCAGCUCCAUGGUUCAGCUUGUCUUCUACUCCAAGAUGCCUUUUGGGUUCAGAGGGAUGCAGUGGAAACUCCCACCCCCUGAACAUCCUUCCUGGAGGUUUACAUACAAUAUACAGCCCAGACAGAGCAGGAAUAGCACGCUGGGAAAUAAGCUUGCACUGAAAUACAUGAGUAUGGCAAGAGUGCCCUCAGGCAAAGAGAAUGUGGCUUUUUGAGAAAAGGAUCCAAUUUGGGAAGUAGGAAAGGCACUUCCCGGGCCACACAGAGAGCAUACAUAUCAUGAAUGUAUCCAACUGAGCUGUUAUACUGAACAAAGCAACUGAACUUGGGAAGUGCUUCUCUCUGUGCCAGCUUCCCCCCAAAAAGGAAAUAAAUUGGAGUGGUCUUUUCGUGGACUGAGCGUGGCCGUGGUGGGGGCCCUGAGAGUCCAGAAGGCUGGGAUUGGAGUUCCAUUUUCCUAACAAAUGAAUAAUCUGUCCUCAAUCCGAAUUGGUUGAACACUACAGCCUUCAUUGUUUCCAUGUCAUUUAAUGCCCAUAAAAAUGAAUUCACUGGAAUUCAAUGGCUGUCGGCUCAGAAUGUUUGCAGUGUGUUUGUGCUGGACUCCAGGACCGAUCGGUUCCGUUUUUUGUUAAUUUGCUUUCUCUGAAAGAACAUUAGCCCAAGAAUAAAGAAAGUAGAGAGGAUACUCAGGAUUCCAUCACAAAUUAAA
Long non-coding RNA from Mustela lutreola (European mink), 5915 nucleotides. RefSeq lists it as uncharacterized. NCBI's taxonomy places the organism in Eukaryota, Metazoa, Chordata, Mammalia, Carnivora, Mustelidae. The transcript has 18 exons. The record is from RefSeq and is a predicted model, not a curated record.